RNAcentral lists this small nuclear RNA (50 nucleotides) under Cervus elaphus hippelaphus. The record is from RNAcentral. Lineage: Eukaryota; Metazoa; Chordata; Mammalia; Artiodactyla; Cervidae.
GUGCUCGCCUAGGCAGCACAUAUACUAAAAUUGUAACGGUACAGAGAAGA